Molecule: ribosomal RNA, 406 nt
Filed under: uncultured bacterium
Lineage: Bacteria
Description: partial 16S ribosomal RNA
Rfam family: Bacterial small subunit ribosomal RNA
Source: RNAcentral
GAUGAACGCUGGCGGCGUGCCUAAUACAUGCAAGUCGAGCGAGCGGCGGACGGGUGAGUAACACGUGGAAACCUCCCUAUAUGACUGGGAUAACUUCGGGAAACCGGAGCUAAUACCGGAUACUUCUAGAUGGAUCCGCGCUGCAUUAGCUAGUUGGUAAGGUAACGGCUUACCAAGGCGACGAUCCGGAACUGGUCUGAGAGGAUGAUCAGGCACACUGGAACUGAGACACGGUCCAUACUCCUACGGGAGGCAGCAGUGGGGAAUAUUGGACAAUGGGCGAAAGCCUGAUCCAGCCAUGCCGCGUGUGUGAAGAAGGUCAUCGGAUUGUAAAGCACUUUCAGUUGGGAGGCGUUACCAGCAGAAUAAGCACCGGCUAACUUCGUGCCAGCAGCCGCGGUAAUAC